RNAcentral lists this transfer RNA (72 nucleotides) under Marmota monax (woodchuck). It matches the Rfam family "tRNA". Rfam says of the family: Transfer RNA (tRNA) molecules are approximately 80 nucleotides in length. Their secondary structure includes four short double-helical elements and three loops (D, anti-codon, and T loops). Further hydrogen bonds mediate the characteristic L-shaped molecular structure. tRNAs have two regions of fundamental functional importance: the anti-codon, which is responsible for specific mRNA codon recognition, and the 3' end, to which the tRNAs corresponding amino acid is attached (by aminoacyl-tRNA synthetases). tRNAs cope with the degeneracy of the genetic code in two manners: having more than one tRNA (with a specific anti-codon) for a particular amino acid; and 'wobble' base-pairing, i.e. permitting non-standard base-pairing at the 3rd anti-codon position. The record is from Rfam by way of RNAcentral. Lineage: Eukaryota; Metazoa; Chordata; Mammalia; Rodentia; Sciuridae.
UGGGGUGUGGCUCAGUGGCAGAGCGCUCACCUAGCAAGUGCGAGGCCCUGGGUUCGAGCCUUAGCACCACAU